ACGGGAGGCAGCAGUAGGGAAUCUUCCACAAUGGGCGAAAGCCUGAUGGAGCAACGCCGCGUGAGUGAAGAAGGAUUUCGGUUCGUAAAACUCUGUUGUAAGGGAAGAACAAGUACAGUAGUAACUGGCUGUACCUUGACGGUACCUUAUUAGAAAGCCACGGCUAACUACGUGCCAGCAGCCGCGGUAAUACGUAGGUGGCAAGCGUUGUCCGGAAUUAUUGGGCGUAAAGCGCGCGCAGGUGGUUUCUUAAGUCUGAUGUGAAAGCCCACGGCUCAACCGUGGAGGGUCAUUGGAAACUGGGAGACUUGAGUGCAGAAGAGGAUAGUGGAAUUCCAAGUGUAGCGGUGAAAUGCGUAGAGAUUUGGAGGAACACCAGUGGCGAAAGCGACUAUCUGGUCUGUAACUGACACUGAGGCGCGAAAGCGUGGGGAGCAAACAGGAUUAGAUACCCUGGUAGUCCACGCCGUAAACGAUGAGUGCUAAGUGUUAGGGGGUUUCCGCCCCUUAGUGCUGCAGCUAACGCAUUAAGCACUCCGCCUGGGGAGUACGGUCGCAAGACUGAAACUCAAAGGAAUUGAC
Molecule: ribosomal RNA, 582 nt
Filed under: uncultured bacterium
Lineage: Bacteria
Description: bacterial SSU rRNA
Rfam family: Bacterial small subunit ribosomal RNA
Source: RNAcentral